This 453-nucleotide ribosomal RNA is filed under the name uncultured Prevotellaceae bacterium. RNAcentral describes it as "bacterial SSU rRNA". It matches the Rfam family "Bacterial small subunit ribosomal RNA", at positions 341 to 792 of the family's 1533-position model. Lineage: Bacteria; Pseudomonadati; Bacteroidota; Bacteroidia; Bacteroidales; Prevotellaceae. The record is from RNAcentral.
ACGGAAGGCAGCAGUGAGGAAUAUUGGUCAAUGGUCGGAAGACUGAACCAGCCAUACCGCGUGAAGGCAGACGGUCCUAUGGAUUGUAAACUUCUUUUGUUCGGGAAUAAAGGAGCCUACGCGUAGGCUUUUGCAUGUACCGUUCGAAUAAGCAUCGGCUAAUUCCGUGCCAGCAGCCGCGGUAAUACGGAAGAUGCGAGCGUUAUCCGGAUUUAUUGGGUUUAAAGGGAGCGUAGGCGGCCUUUUAAGUCAGCGGUCAAAUGUCAGCGCCCAACGCUGGCCUGCCGUUGAUACUGAUGGGCUUGAAUACACACAAGGAAGGUGGAAUUCGUCGUGUAGCGGUGAAAUGCUUAGAUAUGACGAAGAACUCCGAUUGCGAAGGCAGCCUUCUGGAGUGCGAUUGACGCUGAGGCUCGAAAGCGCGGGUAUCAAACAGGAUUAGAUACCCUGGUA